GAUACCCCUGUAGUCCUGGCCGUAAACGAUGAACACUAGGUGUCGGGGGAAUCGACCCCCUCGGUGUCGUAGCCAACGCGUUAAGUGUUCCGCCUGGGGAGUACGCACGCAAGUGUGAAACUCAAAGGAAUUGACGGGGGCCCGCACAAGCGGUGGAGUAUGUGGUUUAAUUCGAUGCAACGCGAAGAACCUUACCAGGGUUUGACAUCCUGCGAAUCCCUUGGAAACUUGGGAGUGCCUUCGGGAGCGCAGUGACAGAUGGUGCAUGGCUGUCGUCAGCUCGUGUCGUGAGAUGUUGGGUUAAGUCCCGCAACGAGCGCAACCCACGUCUUUAGUUGCCAGCAUUUAGUUGGGCACUCUAGAGAGACUGCCGGUGAUAAACCGGAGGAAGGUGUGGAUGACGUCAAGUCAUCAUGCCCCUUACAUCCUGGGCUACACACGUACUACAAUGCUACGGACAAAGGGCAGCAAACUCGCGAGAGCUAGCAAAUCCCAUAAACCGUGGCUCAGUUCAGAUCGUAGGCUGCAACUCGCCUACGUGAAGGAGGAAUCGCUAGUAAUCGCAGGUCAGCAUACUGCGGUGAAUACGUUCCCGGGCCUUGUACACACCGCCCGUCACACCAUGGAAGUUGGCCACGCCCGAAGUCGUUACUCCAACCCUUGUGGAGGAGGAUGCCGAAGGUGGGGCUGAUGACUGGGGUGAAGUCGUAACAAGGUAGCCGUACCGGAAGGUGC
Molecule: ribosomal RNA, 735 nt
Filed under: uncultured Synechococcus sp.
Lineage: Bacteria; Bacillati; Cyanobacteriota; Cyanophyceae; Synechococcales; Synechococcaceae
Description: bacterial SSU rRNA
Rfam family: Bacterial small subunit ribosomal RNA
Source: RNAcentral